GUUGAACGCUAGCGGGAUGCCUUACACAUGCAAGUCGAACGGCAGCAUAAGAGAGCUUGCUCUCUUGAUGGCGAGUGGCGAACGGGUGAGUAAUGUAUCGGAACGUGCCCAGUAGCGGGGGAUAACUACGCGAAAGCGUAGCUAAUACCGCAUACGAUCUGAGGAUGAAAGCGGGGGACCUUCGGGCCUCGCGCGAUUGGAGCGGCCGAUGGCAGAUUAGGUAGUUGGUGGGAUAAAAGCUUACCAAGCCGACGAUCUGUAGCUGGUCUGAGAGGACGACCAGCCACACUGGGACUGAGACACGGCCCAG
RNAcentral lists this ribosomal RNA (310 nucleotides) under uncultured bacterium. Its description in RNAcentral is "bacterial SSU rRNA". It matches the Rfam family "Bacterial small subunit ribosomal RNA", at positions 28 to 334 of the family's 1533-position model. The record is from RNAcentral.